RNAcentral lists this ribosomal RNA (520 nucleotides) under Bacillus sp. (in: firmicutes). RNAcentral's name for it is "bacterial SSU rRNA". It matches the Rfam family "Bacterial small subunit ribosomal RNA", at positions 92 to 597 of the family's 1533-position model. Lineage: Bacteria; Bacillati; Bacillota; Bacilli; Caryophanales; Bacillaceae. The record is from RNAcentral.
UUAGCGGCGGACGGGUGAGUAACACGUGGGUAACCUGCCCAUAAGACUGGGAUAACUCCGGGAAACCGGGGCUAAUACCGGAUAACAUUUUGAACUGCAUGGUUCGAAAUUGAAAGGCGGCUUCGGCUGUCACUUAUGGAUGGACCCGCGUCGCAUUAGCUAGUUGGUGAGGUAACGGCUCACCAAGGCAACGAUGCGUAGCCGACCUGAGAGGGUGAUCGGCCACACUGGGACUGAGACACGGCCCAGACUCCUACGGGAGGCAGCAGUAGGGAAUCUUCCGCAAUGGACGAAAGUCUGACGGAGCAACGCCGCGUGAGUGAUGAAGGCUUUCGGGUCGUAAAACUCUGUUGUUAGGGAAGAACAAGUGCUAGUUGAAUAAGCUGGCACCUUGACGGUACCUAACCAGAAAGCCACGGCUAACUACGUGCCAGCAGCCGCGGUAAUACGUAGGUGGCAAGCGUUAUCCGGAAUUAUUGGGCGUAAAGCGCGCGCAGGUGGUUUCUUAAGUCUGAUGUGA